GACGAACCGUGCGAACGUUGUUCGGAAUCACUGGGCUUAAAGGGCGCGUAGGCGGGUCGGCCAGUCUGUGGUGAAAUCCCCCGGCUUAACCGGGGAACGGCCGCGGAUACUGCCGACCUCGAGGGGGGUAGGGGCGUGCGGAACACUAGGUGGAGCGGUGAAAUGCGUUGAUAUCUAGUGGAACUCCGGUGGCGAAAGCGGCGCGCUGGACCCCUUCUGACGCUGAGGCGCGAAAGCCAGGGGAGCGAACGGG
This 253-nucleotide ribosomal RNA is filed under the name uncultured bacterium. RNAcentral describes it as "partial 16S ribosomal RNA". It matches the Rfam family "Bacterial small subunit ribosomal RNA", at positions 524 to 776 of the family's 1533-position model. The record is from RNAcentral.